Molecule: RNA transcript, 5860 nt
Organism: Mus musculus (house mouse)
Lineage: Eukaryota; Metazoa; Chordata; Mammalia; Rodentia; Muridae
Gene: Nt5c2
Gene name: 5'-nucleotidase, cytosolic II
Exons: 20
Source: RefSeq, marked validated
GCCGACGCGCGACGGCUCGGCGUGGCGCUGGCGCAGCGCGGCCAGCUCGGCCUCGAGCGCACGGUUCUGCGUCUCCAGCUGGUGCACCUUCUCGAUGAACACGGCGAAGCGGUCGUUGAGGCCCUGCAGCUGCUCCUUCUCGUUAGUGCGGAUGAUCUUGUACUCGUUGGUGCGCGCCGCCGCCUGGCUCAGGUCCAGCCCGUCGGAGGCCGGCAGGCGGCGGUAGGCCAGGCCCAGGCCGAGGGACGAGGCCGAGGAGCAGGCGGCCGUGGAGGCCACAUUGCUGCGGGACAGCGACUGCGAGCGGAAGCUGCCCGAGCCUCCCGGCCCGGACAGGCGCGCGGAGAGGCGCGAGCUGUCCCCGAACACCUUGCGGUAGGAGGAGGCGGAGCACAAAUAGUGCUCCGAUCCGAAGCUCAUGGUGCCGGGGUCGGGGCCGGGUGCGCGGCUGCGGCGGGACCUGGCGAGGACGCGAAGAAUUCAUCCUACAAAUAAGAUGACGACCUCCUGGAGUGACCGCUUACAGAAUGCAGCAGAUGUGCCUGCUAACAUGGAUAAGCAUGCCUUGAAAAAGUACCGUCGAGAAGCCUAUCACCGGGUGUUUGUGAACCGAAGUUUAGCCAUGGAAAAAAUAAAGUGUUUUGGUUUUGAUAUGGAUUAUACCCUAGCCGGAAAGCCAGUGUAACUCCUUCAAGACUGGAGUGGCACACACUACCUGCAUCUGCCUCAUUGUACAAGUCUCCAGAAUAUGAAUCCCUUGGCUUUGAGCUUACUGUGGAGAGAUUAGUUUCCAUUGGCUAUCCUCAGGAGCUGCUCAGCUUUGCAUAUGAUUCUACAUUCCCUACCAGAGGACUUGUCUUUGACACGCUCUAUGGAAAUCUUUUGAAAGUCGAUGCCUAUGGAAACCUCUUGGUGUGUGCACAUGGAUUUAACUUCAUAAGAGGACCAGAAACUAGAGAGCAGUAUCCAAAUAAAUUUAUCCAACGAGAUGACACUGAACGGUUUUACAUUCUGAACACACUAUUCAAUCUCCCAGAGACCUACCUGUUGGCCUGCCUCGUAGAUUUUUUUACUAAUUGUCCCAGAUACACCAGUGAAUUUAGUGCUAGUGAGAGAUGCCACAUUGCCAGCCUGAGAGAUGGACAGCGCCAGCAGCUCCAUGCAGGCUCUCACCUCCCACACGGCCCCUCUCCUUGCCAGUGUGCUGCAGCCAUGUUUGGAAGGGACCACUUGUGACUGGGAUUGAAGACGGCCAGCAGAGGUGCUAAUUGUGACAACUGAGUGGGAGUUGUGACACAGGAUUUAAAGAUGGGGACCUCUUCAUGUCCUACCGUAGCAUGUUCCAGGACGUAAGAGACGCAGUGGACUGGGUCCAUUACAAGGGCUCCCUUAAGGAGAAGACGGUUGAAAAUCUUGAGAAGUAUGUCGUCAAGGAUGGCAAGUUGCCGUUGCUUCUGAGCCGAAUGAAGGAAGUAGGGAAAGUGUUUCUGGCUACUAACAGUGACUAUAAGUACACAGAUAAAAUCAUGACUUACCUGUUUGAUUUCCCGCAUGGCCCCAAGCCCGGGAGCUCCCACCGGCCGUGGCAGUCCUACUUUGACCUGAUUUUGGUGGAUGCUCGGAAACCACUCUUUUUUGGAGAAGGCACAGUGCUGCGUCAGGUGGACACUAAAACUGGAAAACUGAAAAUUGGCACCUACACGGGCCCCCUGCAGCACGGCAUUGUCUACUCAGGGGGUUCAUCUGAUACAAUCUGUGACCUGUUGGGAGCUAAGGGCAAAGACAUUUUGUAUAUUGGAGAUCACAUUUUUGGAGACAUUCUGAAGUCAAAGAAACGGCAAGGGUGGAGGACUUUCUUGGUGAUUCCUGAGCUUGCGCAGGAGCUCCACGUCUGGACGGACAAGAGUUCACUCUUUGAAGAACUUCAAAGCUUGGAUAUUUUCUUGGCUGAACUCUACAAGCACCUGGACAGCAGUAGCAAUGAGCGCCCGGACAUUAGUUCCAUCCAGAGACGGAUUAAGAAAGUAACUCAUGACAUGGACAUGUGCUAUGGGAUGAUGGGAAGCCUGUUCCGCAGCGGCUCCCGGCAGACACUCUUUGCCAGCCAAGUGAUGCGCUAUGCAGAUCUCUAUGCGGCCUCGUUCAUCAACCUGCUGUACUACCCAUUCAGCUACCUCUUCAGAGCUGCCCAUGUCCUGAUGCCGCACGAGUCAACGGUGGAACACACGCAUGUGGAUAUCAAUGAGAUGGAGUCCCCUCUCGCCACCCGGAACCGCACGUCAGUGGAUUUCAAAGACACUGACUAUAAGCGACACCAGCUUACAAGGUCCAUUAGUGAGAUCAAGCCCCCCAACCUCUUCCCGCUGGCCCCCCAGGAGAUCACACACUGCCAUGAUGAAGAUGAUGAUGAAGAGGAAGAAGAGGAAGAAUAGGAAGGCAGACUAGAAACCGGAGCACCCAUCAAGUCUGUCAGACUCACGGGGUGAGGGGUGGCCUGUUUGGAUUCUGUUAGGGAGGGUGGGAGGACUCCAUCAGAAGUCCUGGAAAGUUUGGAAAGUUUCUCAAGGCUUUAAAUAAUUCUAAUCAUAGCUACUUCAGUUUUGUGUAUCUGUUCUCUGCAGAUGGUUUGAAACUGUAUAGGAAGAACAGGUAAAGGCAGGUGGAGUGCACACAGAUCGCACCACAUGGCUUGUAAUGAUUUUCUGUGUCUGUCAUCGUCAGCGUGUCAUCUGGAUGUACGAAGGUAGUAAAAAAGGGUUUCAGAACAGAGCCACGGGACUGGUAGGAAGAGGAGAUCCACAAAUGCUGUAUACAGGCUGUACCGCUGCUUCAAACCCCACUUGUCCAGUGCUUCACAGUGUUGCUAAUCAGUGGAGAAAUACAUGCUUUCAUUAUCAAGUGUAGUCAGCCGUCUGUUGAGGUCAGGUUUCCUUCCGUUAGCUUUUGGGUUUCCUCGGUGGCUCUGGCAAGGCUGCUGCUGUGUCAUUCGGUGCCUUUGUGAGUUUCCUUGCUGUAGGUGAUUCUUGACUGUGGGGAUUGGAAUUUGAGGCAGAAGUUACCAUCCCUACUACAUUUUUUAAAGUUGGUAGCACAAAUGCUUUUUAUUCUAUGAAAACAAUCCUUUUGGGGAAUGUACCUGAAGAGUACAGAGGAGCAAGUUCCCAGAGCAGCAGCCACGGCAUCGUGGCCUGCAGGUGCACCCUCCUCCUCGCCACAGUCAGUCAGUUCCCGUGACAGGAAACGACCUUGUGUUCUGAGGAGAGCGUGAAGGCUGUGCCUGCCCUGCCAGUGCAGGGAGCUGUCCCGCACUUGAGCAGUGUCAGAGAUUCUUGCUUUAACUUUGAUUUGCUUUCUCCCAUUCUUGGCCCUGGUCACUAGGGUCCUGGCUAUUCUAGAACUCAGUAAAAUGUAUGUCUAAUGCUAACAUUGGCCCUUGUGUAGUACAACUAUUAGCCGUCACAGCUAUUGCUCUUCAAAUGGCUUUAGGGUUGGUGUUCUUUUUAAGGGAAAUACAUUUUCAAAAUUGCUCACCAUAUCUGUAUCACUUUUAGUUAAAAACAUGCUUAUAUGUACAGUGUUUCAUGGGUAUAAGGAUUUUUUUUCACUGAGGUUUUAGGCAUUUUUUAAAAAGACAAAUUUUCUCUAUGUAGCCCUGGCUGUCCUGGGACAUGUUCAGUAUGUAGAGCAGACUGGCCUUGAACUCAAAGAGGUGUGCCUGUCUCUGCCUCCCGGGUGCUGGGAUUAAAGGCGUGCAGCACCUUGCCUGGCUUGUUUUAAAGUAAUCAUUGAAGGUAUGGAGCACAGCCACUGAGCCAAGGCUGCAGCUGCCAGCACUCACUGACUUUACAGUAAGUCAUUUCAAGUAACGUGCAUUCGGACUGAAAUUUCUGGAACAUGUACGUGGCCUAUUAGUUGUCAUCUCUGUUUUUAAAAUUUAGAGACUACCGUAUUCACCCUAGUUACUAUUCUCAUUUAAAUUGUCAUUGAGGACAUUGCCUAGUUUGACAGUGUUAAGCCUUCUCAAGCCCAGAUCACCUCUGCGUGGCAUGUGACAACUGCAGAGUCACCUUGCAUUAGUUCAUUCCUUAGAGCAGAGGUGGAUAUCACUCAGUUUGCUUUCUAUGUUUUACUGUGUUGUGUGGAUACAACAGUUUGUUACUGGCCAGAUGACACUGUCAGCCAGGUGACUCACCAGGAGAGCUAGCGAGCGAGCAAGCACUUCAAGUGGCUGUGAAAAGCACGCAGUUGCAAGAACUCCACGUUAAGUCACCAGAAGGAGCUGCUAAGGAGCUUUGUGAGAGACCAGCUGGUGAUUUCCCACACGUUCCCAGAUGUGCUGGGAGGUCUGUCUGGGGCAGGUGACUGGACAUUUCAGAAUGGAAAACAGGGAUUGUCUGUCAUCAGUAAACUUCUCCACCGUUUUCCUAAGUCUGAAUAAUUUAGAGGACAGAAAUGGCAGCCCGCCCUUCCGUCACUCUUCAGAACCUUUCCUAGGAGUUCUGAAAACACUCAGUUUUCAGGCUUUGUAGAGCAUCAGAAUUUAGGAAUCCUUUCUUCAUGCUAGACUGAGCUCCCAAGACUGGAGUGUGUGACACUAGGGAGUCCGGUGUUCCCAGUCCUACUGGGUCUCACGGCCACAGAGGUGCGCCAGGAGAACAAACACCCAAGUGUCUCAGAAACAUCUGGGGCAGAGAAAAUUCAAUGUUUAUUUUAUACCCAAGAUUCUCCUUUACCAUAAGCAUAGAUCUGCAGAGAUCCAUGGAGUAAGCUAUGCGCCCUUCAAGUUGCUCUUUAAAUUUUGUUUAAAGUAGAAAUAGAAUAACUAAAUGAGCUACAAAUCUGUAAGUCACAUUCUAUGGGCAGUUACAGGUCAGAUUUAAAAGUAGCUUGCCCAUGUUUAGAUAUUUAUAAAUCAGACUUGUUUGUUUAACAACUUUAAAGUCCUGCAAGUUUUCCAGGGCUUCUGGGGCACUUUUAAAUCCUCUGCUUAUUCACCACAAAUAGCCUGAGAUAAACAACUGCAUAUUUAAGACUGUAUUAGGACAGGAACUUCGCUCACAUUCCAUGUUAUGGAAACUAUUUAAGCUCUUUCUGACGGUGGGAAAGUGGUUACUAAGAUCCAUCUAUUGCUGUGCUGCCAGCCGCCUUCUUCCCCAUGUGGUUUGAGAGUUAGGCCCUCAAUCCUUAGUUUCUCAUGGCAUUCUUUCUUGGUGACUAGAAUUAGCUUCUCUUGCAGUUUUUCCUCAGAGGGAAUGAUUUCUAAUCAUACACUUGGGAUGCCCAAGUCUGGAGUCCUUACCAAAGAUGAAACAAAAGCAUGCACUAUAGUAAGAUGCAUAGAGGAUCUACAUGCAUGUGACGUCAAAAAGCAGAGCCUGAUUGCAGCCCACAUUGCCUGCCACACUAACAGGGAACCAGCACCUAAGCUCCCCACUGCUGUCCAGAAGAAGCAAGAAGCAGCUCUAGAAAGAAUAUUCAGUUACGAAACACGAAACUUUUCUCCUCAUUGCUUUUCCCUGCUUCUCAACCUAUGGAGACAACAGUGUAAUGGUGUCCAGCAAAACAGUAAUGGCAAGAAGUGAAAUGUUGCCAUGUGCCAUACCAAUGUGUCAGUCAGCAACAGACCAUGCAUAUUACGGUGGCCCCAUAAGGUGCAGCUGUCUGGUUUGUGAGUACUCAUGCCUGCUGUUCCCGUGAGGUCACCUCAUGACACAUUCCCACUGUGAAAUGAUGCACAGCUCCCAAGAUCCUUUUAGAGCCAAAACAUGAAACUGCACCAGAUUCACCUCUCAGGCUUGGACACCACAUGGAAAGUAAGCAGAAUUUUUCCAACUAAAUAAAAUUCCCAGUUUUGAGCCUG